Mustela putorius furo (domestic ferret) is the source of this 2833-nucleotide long non-coding RNA. Lineage: Eukaryota; Metazoa; Chordata; Mammalia; Carnivora; Mustelidae. The record is from Ensembl.
GAGCCGGACUCCACCAGCAACCUAAAGGAGCCCCCUGGGAGCCCAGCCUGCCGGCACCUGCUGCUGUGAGACCUGGAAGGGCACUGAGGCACUGAAGAAUCCCGUGAGUGGCAGAACUAAAACCCACGACUGAAAAUAAGUUGAAUCACGCUGAUGAAAUGUGGAAUGUGGAACGUGAAGGGUCUCCCUUGAUUUCCAAGUUCACCGCUGUGAACAUUGCAUAUGCUGUCAACGCAGAAACACCUAGAAGGUCCAGCUGUGUGUGUGUUGGGCCAGCCCGGGGCACUGCGGGCUUCGGGGCGCAGCACCCCCCAGCUGCCUCCUCGCCCCGCCGUGACCCUGCCUGAGCCCCAGAGCCAAGGGUGCUGGGGGAGAACGGCUGGUCUCUCUGGAUGUUUCUCCUGCAGGGAAACAAAAAGAAGGAAUAGAGAAGCGACUAGGGCCAGCCUUCACUGGCAAAGGUGGGAAACUGAGAUCCAGUGCACACGGCUGCCAGAGACAGAGUCACGUGCUUGCUGGGGAAUUAGCACUGCCGUCUGGUCCCCUGCCCACCAGCAUCGGUGGUUACUAAUCAGCCCCCUGGGACCUCUCCCUUUGAAUGAAGAUAUGUUGCACCCCAGCCAGGUGCUUGGGGGAUGGCAGAAGACUUCCGAGGGGAAGGUCGUGGACCAUCACCUCAGAGGCGUGCGUCACACAGACGGACCUAUGGUGGGUCAUUCUGUUACUCUCCCACGUGACGACCUUCCAUCAGCGCGGUCCAGGUGCUCUUCUGAGCUCUGUAGAGACACUCCUCCCUCUGCUCGACAGCCUGGGACUCGGGCUGUGACUGUUCUCAGUGGAUGUGGGGAGACUGAGGCACAAAGACACUCGGUGACUUAUGCAGGGAGUCAGCCUUCAGGCCCCAGCCUGACCCCCACUGUGAGCUCAUCACCCACCAGCACGCACCUGUCACACACAGAGCAUGGCCUUCAGCCUGGAGGGCGAGUCUGAGGAGAAGCAGGGCCCACCAGGGCUGACUAUGCCCCUCCCCUCCCCCACGUCCCUCACAGAUGUGUACUGGGCCCCUCCUGGGCCACGCCCUCUGCAUUUGGCCUCCAUGCAGAGACUCUGGGCCCCUACCCUCUUUCCCAGCUCCCAGGAAUCCCCAGGGACCAUUUCUGGUGUUGCAUGUCCCUCUUAGGUCUAGCCCUCCUCUCCUCUGCCCUGCCUGCUGUAGUGACCAAAGCGGGCUUUGGCCCCUCCUGAUUGAUGGAGAAUCCCUUCUCCCAGGGCCCACAGGGGCCACUUUCCAGGGUCUUCCCUGAUGAUUAAGUACCAGAAAGCUCCAAGGAGCUGAGGGCUCACUUCUCAGCAGUGGGCCUGUGAUGGUCAAAGCCGGUCACUGUCCUGCUUCCUGUCCCCAUAGUGCUUUAUGUAUGUACACAGUUGGGGAGCAGUGGGGCUCGGGGCUGGCCCUCUGGCCUGUGCCUACCUGCCACGGGGGUUGGGGGGGCCACUGUCAUUCUGGGAACCCUGGUCUCAGUGGAUGUCAGUGGAGAUGAUAAUGAGCCCAGCCCCGUCCCAGCCUCCCAGGGUUGGGGAAAGAUUGAUGCAAGUGGAAGGUGAGGCCGAGAGGAGGGUGCCCCCCGCCUAUCCCUCCCAUUGCUGUGGACAGAACCCUGGCGAGCCCCUUUGCUUUUUCGUGCUGUGCCUCCAUUUCUUCUUCCGGGAAAAGGACAUAAUGAUGAAGCCCAUCCCCAGUCAGCUUGGGGGCCCGCACUUUGCAAAGUCACUGGGGCAGAGCUGGAGCCUUGAGUUGGCAUGUGAUGGGGCUCCAUGGACACCCGGUGAAAGGAAGGGGGACACGAGCCUGUCACACUGCAUCAGCCCUGCGAGGUCUGCGACUGGAGGCAGCGGCUGCCAUCCCCGUCCCUCCCUGGAGCCAGCCUCCAGCUCGGUGGGCCUCUCAUACAUGCAGGCUGGGCUGGCCCAUGGCUACAGAGUUGCAGGCCAGAGGAAUCCCUGCCCCCACCAAGAAGUGACCACACCCCACUUCCCCUUAGAGUGUCUCAUCCCCAGAGGGGCCACCGCCUUCCACCCCAUCUCCCUCCCUCUACGGAUCAGAGCAGCCAGACCACCAUCUCCCUGGGGGGUCUUUUCUUCCUUCUCCAUCUAGACACAUUUCUCUCUGGCCUCCGGGUCACACUUCUGCCCCUGCCCUGAAUGCAUGUCCUGAGCAACCUCCCCACCAACUUGGCACCUUCCCCAUGACAACCGGAUAACGAUCUUUCUCCCUCAAGCUGUCCCCUCCAACCCCUUGUCAUUUGCUGGAAGGCAUUAGGAGACGUCUCUGCAAGACAUCACAGCCCCCCACCCUACACCUGGCAGCUUCCUUACCACCCCCACCCGGCAGCUCCCCAACCCUGCAGUUUACCCUUGGCCCCUACCCCUGGUGGCUUUCCCCCAACAUCUGGCAGCACCCCCACAGCUCUCCCCACAGCCCCCCCUUCCUAACCUGGCAGCUUCCCCAGCCCCCCCACGCCUGUACCUUACUGUCCUCACCUGGCAGCUCCCCUACAUCUGGCAGCACCCCACACCCCACUGGCUGUUUCCCCACCCCCCACUAAGCAGGUGCAAAUUUCUUAGUUUUGCUGGAGGCUAGGCCAAGGGCACAGCACAGGGGAGAGGCUCCCUGCUGUAGAGUCUGGCCCCCCAACAGCCUUUUCCCUCAGUCUCCCUCCUGCUGGUGCCCCCAGCGUCCCCGAGAGCAUUGCUCAUGGAGUCCUUGACCAAGCUGAGCUUUGUCACAUGUAUCAAGACACAUUAAAAUAUUAUCACUAGAGACCUUUGCUGA